Molecule: ribosomal RNA, 460 nt
Filed under: uncultured bacterium
Lineage: Bacteria
Description: partial 16S ribosomal RNA
Rfam family: Bacterial small subunit ribosomal RNA
Source: RNAcentral
CCUACGGGAGGCAGCAGUGAGGAAUAUUGGUCAAUGGACGAGAGUCUGAACCAGCCAAGUAGCGUGAAGGAUGACUGCCCUAUGGGUUGUAAACUUCUUUUAUAUGGGAAUAAAAUGUUGCACGUGGGGGAUUUUGUAUGUACCAUAUGAAUAAGGAUCGGCUAACUCCGUGCCAGCAGCCGCGGUAAUACGGAGGAUCCGAGCGUUAUCCGGAUUUAUUGGGUUUAAAGGGAGCGUAGGUGGAUGGUUACGUCAGUUGUGAAAGUUUGCGGCUCAACCGUAAAAUUGCAGUUGAAACUGGCAGUCUUGAGUACAGUAGAGGUGGGCGGAAUUCGUGAUGUAGCGGUGAAAUGCUUAGAUAUCACGAAGAACUCCGAUUGCGAAGGCAGUUCACUGGACUGCAACUGACACUGAGGCUCGAAAGUGUGGGUAUCAAACAGGAUUAGAUACCCCGGUAGUC